Molecule: transfer RNA, 73 nt
Filed under: Mus musculus (house mouse)
Lineage: Eukaryota; Metazoa; Chordata; Mammalia; Rodentia; Muridae
Rfam family: tRNA
About the family: Transfer RNA (tRNA) molecules are approximately 80 nucleotides in length.
Source: Rfam by way of RNAcentral
UGGGAUGUAGUUCAGUUGGUAAAGCACAUACCUAGUAUGCACAAAACUCUGGGUUCAAUUCCCAGCACAUCAA